This 1105-nucleotide ribosomal RNA is filed under the name uncultured organism. RNAcentral describes it as "bacterial SSU rRNA". It matches the Rfam family "Bacterial small subunit ribosomal RNA", at positions 360 to 1473 of the family's 1533-position model. The record is from RNAcentral.
AAUCUUGCGCAAUGGGCGAAAGCCUGACGCAGCGACGUCGCGUGAACGAUGAAGUCUUUCGGGAUGUAAAGUUCUUUUCUGAGGGAAGAAGGAUGUGACGGUACCUCAGGAAUAAGCCCCGGCUAACUACGUGCCAGCAGCCGCGGUAAUACGUAGGGGGCGAGCGUUGUCCGAAUUUACUGGGCGUAAAAGCGCGCGUAGGCGGACUCUUAAGUUGGUGGUGAAAUGCCGAGGCUCAACCACGGAACUGCCUUCAAAACUGGGAGUCUAGAGGCUUGGAGAGGGAAGUGGAAUUCCUGGUGUAGCGGUGAAAUGCGUAGAUAUCAGGAGGAACACCGAUGGCGAAGGCAGCUUCCUGGCCAUGUCCUGACGCUGAGGUGCGAAAGCUAGGGUAGCGAACGGGAUUAGAUACCCCGGUAGUCCUAGCCGUAAACGAUGGAUACUAGGUGUUAGAGGUAUCGACCCCUCUAGUGCCGAAGCAAACGCAUUAAGUAUCCCGCCUGGGGAGUACGGCCGCAAGGUUGAAACUCAAAGGAAUUGACGGGGGCCCGCACAAGCGGUGGAGCAUGUGGUUUAAUACGUCACUAACCGUAGAACCUCACCCAGGCUUGACAUCUGCUGAAAGCGCCUGAAAGGGUGGCCCCGGUAUUUUUAUAUCGCAGCAAGACAGGUGUUGCAUGGCUGUCGUCAGCUCGUGUCGUGAGAUGUUGGGUUAAGUCCCGCAACGAGCGCAACCCUCAUCCGAUGUUGCCAGCGUAAAGUCGGGAACUCUUCGGAAACUGCCCGUGCAAGCGGGAGGAAGGUGGGGAUGACGUCAAGUCAGCAUGGCCCUUACGCCUGGGGCUACACACAUGCUACAAUGGAUGUAAACAAUGGGCAGCAAGACCGCGAGGUGGAGCAAAUCUCAAAAAUACAUCCUCAGUUCGGAUUGCAGUCUGCAACUCGACUGCAUGAAGUCGGAAUCGCUAGUAACCGCAGGUCAGCUAAACUGCGGUGAAUACGUUCCCGGGCCUUGUACACACCGCCCGUCACGCCACCUGAGUUGUCUGCACCCGAAGUCGAUGGCCCAACCGCAAGGGGGGAGUCGCCGAAGGUGUGGGGAGCG